Molecule: ribosomal RNA, 253 nt
Filed under: uncultured bacterium
Lineage: Bacteria
Description: partial 16S ribosomal RNA
Rfam family: Bacterial small subunit ribosomal RNA
Source: RNAcentral
UACGUAGGGUGCAAGCGUUAAUCGGAAUUACUGGGCGUAAAGCGUGCGCAGGCGGUUUUGUAAGUCUGUCGUGAAAUCCCCGGGCUCAACCUGGGAAUUGCGAUGGAGACUGCAAGGCUAGAAUCUGGCAGAGGGGGGUAGAAUUCCACGUGUAGCAGUGAAAUGCGUAGAUAUGUGGAGGAACACCGAUGGCGAAGGCAGCCCCCUGGGAUAACACUGACGCUCAUGCACGAAAGCGUGGGGAGCAAACAGG